Molecule: ribosomal RNA, 301 nt
Filed under: uncultured bacterium
Lineage: Bacteria
Description: partial 16S ribosomal RNA
Rfam family: Bacterial small subunit ribosomal RNA
Source: RNAcentral
CAGUCGCCACGGUAAUACGUAGGGUGCGAGCGUUAAUCGGAGUUACUGGGCGUAAAGCGUGCGCAGGCGGUUGUGUAAGACAGGUGUGAAAUCCCCGGGCUUAACCUGGGAACUGCGCUUGUGACUGCACAGCUAGAGUAUGGCAGAGGGGGGUGGAAUUCCACGUGUAGCAGUGAAAUGCGUAGAGAUGUGGAGGAACACCGAUGGCGAAGGCAGCCCCCUGGGCCAAUACUGACGCUGAGGUGCGAAAGCGUGGGGAGCAAACAGGAUUAGAUACCCGAGUAGUCCCUGUCUCUUAUAC